This 445-nucleotide ribosomal RNA is filed under the name uncultured bacterium. RNAcentral's name for it is "bacterial SSU rRNA". It matches the Rfam family "Bacterial small subunit ribosomal RNA", at positions 771 to 1213 of the family's 1533-position model. The record is from RNAcentral.
ACCUAAUAGAUACCCUGGUAGUCCACGCCCUAAACGAUGCGAACUGGAUGUUGGGUACAUUACGGUACUCAGUGUCGAAAGCUAAACGCGUUAAGUUCGCCGCCUGGGGAGUACGGUCGCAAGACUGAAGCUCAAAGGAAUUGACGGGGGCCCGCACAAGCGGUGGAGUAUGUGGUUUAAAUUCGAUGCAACGCGAAGAACCUUACCUGGCCUUGACAUCUGUCGAAUCCUGCAGAGAUGCGGGAGUGCCGCAAGGAACGACAAGACAGGUGCUGCAUGGCUGUCGUCAGCUCGUGUCGUGAGAUGUUGGGUUAAGUCCCGCAACGAGCGCAACCCUUGUCCCUAGUUGCCAGCACAUCAUGGUGGGAACUCCAGGGAGACUGCCGGUGACAAACCGGAGGAAGGUGGGGAUGACGUCAAGUCCUCAUGGCCCUUACGGCCAGGG